UGGGGAAUUUUGCGCAAUGGGCGAAAGCCUGACGCAGCAACGCCGCGUGGAGGAUGAAGGCCUUCGGGUCGUAAACUCCUGUCAGGGGGGACGAACACAAUGACUGUACCCCCUGAGGAAGCCACGGCUAACUCCGUGCCAGCAGCCGCGGUAAUACGGAGGUGGCAAGCGUUGUUCGGAAUUACUGGGCGUAAAGGGCGCGUAGGCGGCUUUACAAGUCAGAUGUGAAAGCCCCGGGCUUAACUCGGGAAUUGCAUCUGAAACUGUUUUGCUUGAGUCCUGGAGGGGGUAUGGAAUUCCCAGUGUAGCGGUGAAAUGCGUAGAUAUUGGGAGGAACACCGUGCGGCGAAGGCGGCUACCGUGGACAGUGACGUGACGCUGAUGCGCGAAAGCUAGGGGA
This 400-nucleotide ribosomal RNA is filed under the name uncultured bacterium. Its description in RNAcentral is "bacterial SSU rRNA". It matches the Rfam family "Bacterial small subunit ribosomal RNA", at positions 355 to 767 of the family's 1533-position model. The record is from RNAcentral.